GACGAACGCUGGCGGCGUGCUUAACACAUGCAAGUCGAACGGAAAGGCCCUGCUUUUGUGUGGUGCUCGAGUGGCGAACGGGUGAGUAACACGUGAGUAACCUGCCCUUGACUUUGGUAUAACUUCAGGAAACUGGGUCUAAUACCGGAUAGGAGCUCCUUCUGCAUGGUGGGGGUUGGAAAGUUUCGGCGGUUGGGGAUGGACUCGCGGCUUAUCAGCUUGUUGGUGGGGUAGUGGCUUACCAAGGCUUUGACGGGUAGCCGGCCUGAGAGGGUGACCGGCCACAAUGGGACUGAGAGACGGGCCAGACUCCUACGGGAGGCAGAAGUGCGGAUUAUUGCACAAUGGGCGGAAGACUGAUGCAGCAACGCCGCGUGCGGGAUGAAGGCCUUCGGGUUGUAAACCGCUUUCGCCUGUGACGAAGCGUGAGUGACGGUAAUGGGUAAAGAAGCACCGGCUAACUACGUG
Molecule: ribosomal RNA, 468 nt
Filed under: uncultured bacterium
Lineage: Bacteria
Description: partial 16S ribosomal RNA
Rfam family: Bacterial small subunit ribosomal RNA
Source: RNAcentral